GAUACUGGCAAGNUUGAGUCUCGUAGAGGGNGGUAGAAUUCCAGGUGUAGCGGUGAAAUGNNNAGAGAUCUGGAGGAAUACCGGUGGCGAAGGCGGCCCCCUGGACGAAGACUGACGCUCAGGUGCGAAAGCGUGGGGAGCAAACAGGAUUAGAUACCCUGGUAGUCCACGCCGUAAACGAUGUCGACUUGGAGGUUGUGCCCUUGAGGCGUGGCUUCCGGAGCUAACGCGUUAAGUCGACCGCCUGGGGAGUACGGCCGCAAGGUUAAAACUCAAAUGAAUUGACGGGGGCCCGCACAAGCGGUGGAGCAUGUGGUUUAAUUCGAUGCAACGCGAAGAACCUUACCUGGUCUUGACAUCCACAGAACUUUCCAGAGAUGGAUUGGUGCCUUCGGGAACUGUGAGACAGGUGCUGCAUGGCUGUCGUCAGCUCGUGUUGUGAAAUGUUGGGUUAAGUCCCGCAACGAGCGCAACCCUUAUCCUUUGUUGCCAGCGGUCCGGCCGGGAACUCAAAGGAGACUGCCAGUGAUAAACUGGAGGAAGGUGGGGGUGACGUCAAGUCAUCAUGGCCCUUACGACCAGGGCUACACACGUGCUACAAUGGCGCAUACAAAGAGAAGCGACCUCGCGAGAGCAAGCGGACCUCAUAAAGUGCGUCGUAGUCCGGAUUGGAGUCUGCAACUCGACUCCAUGAAGUCGGAAUCGCUAGUAAUCGUGGAUCAGAAUGCCACGGUGAAUACGUUCCCGGGCCUUGUACACACCGCCCGUCACACCAUGGGAGUGGGUUGCAAAAGAAGUAGGUAGCUUAACCUUCGGGAGGGCGCUUACCACUUUGUGAUUCAUGACUGGGGUGAAGUCGUAACAAGGUAACCGUA
This 875-nucleotide ribosomal RNA is filed under the name uncultured bacterium. RNAcentral describes it as "bacterial SSU rRNA". It matches the Rfam family "Bacterial small subunit ribosomal RNA", at positions 629 to 1504 of the family's 1533-position model. The record is from RNAcentral.